This 282-nucleotide long non-coding RNA is filed under the name Homo sapiens (human). RNAcentral describes it as "non-protein coding lnc-MZT1-3:2". Lineage: Eukaryota; Metazoa; Chordata; Mammalia; Primates; Hominidae. The record is from RNAcentral.
CUGUGCUUGCCACUGAAUUUGAGAGAAGUCUCCAAAUUAUUGAAUCAGAGGCUUCCCCUUCCCUCAGAAUCCCUCAUUUUCCAAUGAUAAAAAGUCUACCAAUUGUUCAAACCAAACAUUAAAAAUUUGCUUGGAUUUUUAUGGAUCAUUUGCUAUUUUUUUCUAAAUGCUCCAGCAAAUCUGUUAAAGACUUAUUCAUCUUUUUUCCAUAUGCUCAGACAACUCAAAUGAUUUCUAUCAUUUCAUUUUUUCCCCUGGACGUCUUCCUCCUGCAACUCUCUG